This 253-nucleotide ribosomal RNA is filed under the name uncultured bacterium. RNAcentral's name for it is "partial 16S ribosomal RNA". It matches the Rfam family "Bacterial small subunit ribosomal RNA", at positions 524 to 776 of the family's 1533-position model. The record is from RNAcentral.
UACGAAGGGUGCAAACGUUGCUCGGAACUAUUGGGCGUAAAGCGCACGUAGGCGGCAUUGCAAGUCGGAUGUGAAAUCUUAUGGCUUAACCAUAAAAGUGCAUCCGAAACUGCAGUGCUUGAGUACUUAAGAGGAUCGCGGAAUUCCCGGUGUAGAGGUGAAAUUCGUAGAUAUCGGGAGGAACACCAGUGGCGAAGGCGGCGAUCUGGGAAGAUACUGACGCUGAGGUGCGAAAGCGUGGGGAGCAAACAGG